CAGCAGUAGGGAAUCUUCCGCAAUGGGCGAAAGCCUGACGGAGCGACGCCGCGUGAGCGAUGAAGGCCUUCGGGUUGUAAAGCUCUGUGGGGAGGGAAGAAUAAGGGUGAGUUAAUAGCUCAUCUGAUGACGGUACCUCCUUAGCAAGCACCGGCUAACUCUGUGCCAGCAGCCGCGGUAAGACAGAGGGGGCAAACGUUGUUCGGAUUUACUGGGCGUAAAGCGCGUGUAGGCGGCUUUGCAAGUCGGAUGUGAAAGCCCACGGCUCAACCGUGGAAGUGCAUCCGAAACUGCAUGGCUUGAGUCUCGGAGAGGAAGGUGGAAUGCAAGGUGUAGAGGUGAAAUUCGUAGAUAUCAAGCAGAACACCUGCGGCGAAGGCGGCCUUCUGGACGAUGACUGACGCUGAGACGCGAAAGCGUGGGGAGCAAACAGGAUUAGAUACCCGG
Molecule: ribosomal RNA, 447 nt
Filed under: uncultured Myxococcales bacterium
Lineage: Bacteria; Pseudomonadati; Myxococcota; Myxococcia; Myxococcales
Description: bacterial SSU rRNA
Rfam family: Bacterial small subunit ribosomal RNA
Source: RNAcentral